Bufo bufo (common toad) is the source of this 231-nucleotide long non-coding RNA. RefSeq lists it as uncharacterized. Lineage: Eukaryota; Metazoa; Chordata; Amphibia; Anura; Bufonidae. The record is from RefSeq and is a predicted model, not a curated record. The transcript has 3 exons.
GUCGGUAGUCAGGGCUCUUGUUCUCUCUGGUAUCAGCCAUUCCUCCAGCCUGCAGGAGUCAUGAAGAAAACCAGCAAUACGAGCCUUCUCCUGAAUGAGCCACCAAGGAUGGACAGGAAGGAGAUCAGCAGAAGAAUAUUAGACCUCACCUUGGAGAUCAUCUCCCUGCUGAGCGGAGAGGAGUACACAAUAGUGAAGAAGACAUCGGGGGACUGUGUGACUCCCAUCAUC